Molecule: long non-coding RNA, 1138 nt
Filed under: Homo sapiens (human)
Lineage: Eukaryota; Metazoa; Chordata; Mammalia; Primates; Hominidae
Description: HSALNT0308468
Source: RNAcentral
UAUUCUGUCUUCCUGGAUAUCCCAAAGACUACUUCUCAGCUCUUCACCAGGACCAUGUACCUAGAAAUGACCAAUGGCUUGUGAGCGGAAAUGAUGUGUGUAAUUCUGGGAUAAGACUGUGAAACAUCCUUGUUCUAUCUUUCAGUUUUCCUCUUCUCCUGUGUUAGAAAGCGUGAAGAAUAUAUGUUGGAAUGAGGGAGCCCACACAAGAUAGAGCUACCUGGAUUGUCACAUCACCUUGUGGUCAUCUGUACUAACAGCAGGUCCUGCAUGUUUGGCACGGCAUCUCAACUUGAUGUCUAUUUCUUCUUGUUCUCCUUCACCUCACAUGAACCUUCCAAGUCAUAAUUCUUUGGAAAUAGACACAAGGAGCUUUAUUUCAAAUUACCAUCCUUUACUUAAGAGGUUCCAUCUCUAAGCAUAUCAGCAAUCAUGGUGACGUGCCACUCUGCUGGUAAUUCAUAUGGCUUAUUCAGAAGCACAGAUCAUGGCUGUUAGACCUGCCAGAUGUUCCCGGUCCCUAGCUGCAAUUAAGUUCCAACAUAGCCCAAUUUGAAAGAGAUUGAGAAACCACAGUUCUCAUUAAGAAUAUUCAUGAGUUUGCACCUUGAAAAGCCAGCAAUCACAUGAUAUGCCAGAACGGACAAGAUCGUUUGAGAAGAGGAAAAAAAAAAAGAUGCAAUUUAAAAUAAGUUACCAGAGAAGAUCAUUUUACCUCGGUCUGGCCAGUUGAAACACUGUGUUUGCCAUUACACAGUGGGUGUUUUUGGGAUGUGACUGAAGUCAGCCUGAGUCCAAUGAAAAUUCUGAACUUCUUCUGGAAUUAUGGUGAAGGACAAACUCUUUUUGGGUUGUAAACCUGGCAAUGUUUUGAAAGUUUCCACAUGGACCGUUUUUAAGCAGAAUCUCAUGGGAUUUUAGACCCUGAAGUGUCAUAUCUAAUUGUUAUCUCUUCAUGUUCAUGUCUUCAGUAAUCAUCUAGAAGUGAUAUUAUGGACUGGCACUCAGAGGCGGUGUGAACUGUGAGAAUCUACAUUCUAAAAUCUUCUCAAAUCUUUUUUGCUAUCCUUCCCAUUUGUCUCACAUCAUCUGGGGUAUAGAAAGUGUGAAACUUUUUAGUUUUAUAUACCUUGAAGAA